Molecule: ribosomal RNA, 429 nt
Filed under: Acidobacteriota bacterium
Lineage: Bacteria; Pseudomonadati; Acidobacteriota
Description: Acidobacteria bacterium partial 16S ribosomal RNA
Rfam family: Bacterial small subunit ribosomal RNA
Source: RNAcentral
UGGGGAAUUUUGGACAAUGGGGGAAACCCUGAUCCAGCCAUCCCGCGUGUGCGAUGAAGGCCUUCGGGUUGUAAAGCACUUUUGGCAGGAAAGAAACGUCAUGGGUUAAUACCCCGUGAAACUGACGGUACCUGCAGAAUAAGCACCGGCUAACUACGUGCCAGCAGCCGCGGUAAUACGUAGGGUGCAAGCGUUAAUCGGAAUUACUGGGCGUAAAGCGUGCGCAGGCGGUUCGGAAAGAAAGAUGUGAAAUCCCAGAGCUCAACUUUGGAACUGCAUUUUUAACUACCGGGCUAGAGUGUGUCAGAGGGAGGUGGAAUUCCGCGUGUAGCAGUGAAAUGCGUAGAUAUGCGGAGGAACACCGAUGGCGAAGGCAGCCUCCUGAGAUAACACUGACGCUCAUGCACGAAAGCGUGGGGAGCAAACAGG